CACGUAGGAGGCAAACGUUAUCCGGAUUUACUGGGCGUAAAGCGCGUGUAGGUGGUUCUGUAAGUAGGGCGUGAAAGCUCCCGGCUCAACUGGGAGAGGCCGUUCUAAACUGCAGAGCUAGAGGAUGGUAGAGGGAGGUGGAAUUCCAGGUGUAGCGGUGGAAUGCGCAGAUAUCUGGAGGAACACCAGUGGCGAAGGCGGCCUCCUGGACCAUUCCUGACACUCAGACGCGAAAGCUAGGGUAGCAAACGGGGAUUAGAUACCCCGGUAGUCCAUGA
Molecule: ribosomal RNA, 278 nt
Filed under: uncultured prokaryote
Description: partial 16S ribosomal RNA
Rfam family: Bacterial small subunit ribosomal RNA
Source: RNAcentral